GACGAACGCUGGCGGCGUGCCUAAUACAUGCAAGUAGAACGCUGAAGGAGGAGCUUGCUUCUCUGAAUGAGUUGCGAACGGGUGAGUAACGCGUAGGUAACCUGCCUGGUAGCGGGGGAUAACUAUUGGAAACGAUAGCUAAUACCGCAUAAUAGUAGAUGUUGCAUGACAUUUGCUUAAAAGGUGCAAUUGCAUCACUACCAGAUGGACCUGCGUUGUAUUAGCUAGUUGGUGGGGUAACGGCUCACCAAGGCGACGAUACAUAGCCGACCUGAGAGGGUGAUCGGCCACACUGGGACUGAGACACGGCCCAGACUCCUACGGGAGGCAGCAGUAGGGAAUCUUCGGCAAUGGACGGAAGUCUGACCGAGCAACGCCGCGUGAGUGAAGAAGGUUUUCGGAUCGUAAAGCUCUGUUGUAAGAGAAGAACGAGUGUGAGAGUGGAAAGUUCACACUGUGACGGUAUCUUACCAGAAAGGGACGGCUAACUACGU
RNAcentral lists this ribosomal RNA (494 nucleotides) under uncultured bacterium. RNAcentral describes it as "partial 16S ribosomal RNA". It matches the Rfam family "Bacterial small subunit ribosomal RNA", at positions 28 to 506 of the family's 1533-position model. The record is from RNAcentral.